This is a long non-coding RNA of Artibeus jamaicensis (Jamaican fruit-eating bat), 384 nucleotides long. RefSeq lists it as uncharacterized. The record is from RefSeq and is a predicted model, not a curated record. NCBI's taxonomy places the organism in Eukaryota, Metazoa, Chordata, Mammalia, Chiroptera, Phyllostomidae. The transcript is spliced from 3 exons.
AAUGUCUGAUGGAUACACCAUACAACACACUUUCCACUGCCAAGUUCAACAGAUGUUUCACCAGAUACAUAGUUAACUAAGACUGCUUUGAACUUCAGAGGGGAUUAGUCCACCUGUGGUGCCCCCAGGGACCUCAGCCAGAGCCUGGAAGCUCUGCCUCCCCACAGGUCCCUGUGGGCAGGAGCCUUUGUAGAUUGGACCCUUUCGAAUACAAAUUCCUGCCCAGGUCUCCAGAGCCCAGUGACCCCUGAGUAUCAGCUUCCCUAGCAUCUGAGUCCAGUGUCUGCUCUUUUCGGAGACUUAGAGACACUGUUCCUCAUGGACUGUCCCAUGGUGAUACUACACAGCACACUUUUUACUACCAAUUCUCAAGAGAUGAUACAU